This is a long non-coding RNA of Oncorhynchus keta (chum salmon), 357 nucleotides long. RefSeq lists it as uncharacterized. The record is from RefSeq and is a predicted model, not a curated record. The transcript has 3 exons. Lineage: Eukaryota; Metazoa; Chordata; Actinopteri; Salmoniformes; Salmonidae.
AGACGCUCGGUGUUGUACGGCACAACCCUUCCAUAGAGGUCGUCCAGGAAUGUAAUGAGACACUCGGUGUUGUAUGACCCAACCCUUCCAUAGAGGUCAUCCAGGAAUGUAAUGAGACACUCGGUGUUGUACGGCCCAACCCUUCCAUAGAGGUCACCCAGGAAUGUAAUGAGACGCUCGGUGUUGUAUGGCACAACCCUUCCAUAGAGGUCACCCAGGAAUGUAAUGAGACGCUCGGUGUUGUAUGACCCAACCCUUCCAUAGAGGUCACCCAGGAAUGUAAUGAGACGCUCGGUGUUGUAUGACCCAACCCUUCCAUAGAGGUCAUCCAGGAAUGUAAUGAGACACUCGGUGUUG